AAAGGAAAAGGCUAUUUGACUGUGGAAACAAAAAACCCAAUCCAAAACCUCACGAAAACCUCAACAGAAAAAAUGGCACUAUCAUCUUCUCUGGUUCAUCUCCCUGCUUCAAAAUCCUUUAUUUAUCCACCCAACCGGCACCGUUUUCCAGCAUUCAAAACUCCAUUUAACUUUUCAUUGUAUAAUAAAACUAAAUUGAAUGUAAAAAAUGUCUCCUUUGCUGCAACAAGAAAAGCUUCUUCUUUAGUGGUUGAAGAGGAAGAAGAACAAAAGGAGGAAUUUGAAGCUGUUAACAUUGCUGAGGAUGUAACCCAGUUGAUCGGGAGUACUCCAAUGAUAUAUCUCAACAAAGUAACAGAACGAUGUGUGGCAAAAAUUGCUGCAAAACUUGAAUCCAUGGAACCUUGUCGGAGUGUCAAAGACAGGAUUGGUCUUAGUAUGGUAUCUGAGGCUGAAGAUAGUGGAGCAAUUUCUCCUGGGAAGACCAUAUUAGUGGAACCAACAAGUGGAAAUACAGGACUUGGAAUUGCUUUUGUUGCAGCAACUAAGGGUUACAAGCUUAUAGUAACGAUGCCUGCUUCCAUAAACCUUGAAAGGAGAAUCCUUUUACGUGCAUUUGGAGCAGAGAUUGUUCUGACAGACCCAGAAAAGGGCUUCAAAGGAGCUGUUGAUAAAGCUGAAGAAAUUGUGCUUAACACUCCAAAUGCUUUCAUGCUUCAACAGUUUGAUAAUAUGGCUAAUACAAAGAUUCAUUUUGAAACUACGGGACCAGAAAUAUGGGAGGAUACUUUGGGUAAUGUUGACAUACUUGUUGCUGGAAUUGGAACUGGUGGUACUGUUACAGGCACUGGACGUUACUUGAAAAUGAUGAACAAAGAAAUUAAGGUAGUUGGUGUGGAACCUGCUGAGAGGAGUAUAAUCUCUGGAGAAAACCCAGGUUAUGUGCCAAGCAUCCUAGAUGUUAAAUUGCUUGAUGAAGUUAUCAAGGUCAGCAAUGAUGAAGCUGUUGAUAUGGCAAGGAGAUUAGCACUGGAGGAAGGCCUGCUGGUUGGCAUUUCAUCAGGAGCUGCUGCAGCUGCUGCGAUUAGCUUAGCAAAAAGGCCUGAGAACGCUGGAAAACUUAUUGCGGUUAUAUUUCCAAGCUUUGGUGAGAGGUAUAUUCCAACUGUUCUUUUUCGUUCUAUAUAUGAAGAGGUUCAACAAAUGCAAGCAGGAUAGUGUAGAUUUGUACCGGAAGAUUCAGUCUACCAUGGAAUUCAGUUCUCAUUCUUUUAAAUAAAAGCUGGCUACUGCACUACUUGACAGGUGCAAUUUUCAUAAAGGCACAGGAAUCCGUACAAGAUUUCUCAUGAUAACUAAUUUCCCAAUCAUCCUUUGGUCAUGUUUUCCUACUGGUAAUCGAAAUGCUUUGGCAUACACGUUGCUUAUUAUGCUGAUAGAUUAUACCAUUGUCAGAUGAUCUCGGGCCUAACGAGUCAAUUUGAAGAUGGGCAAAGUGUAAAGAUGUAAUUGCAGCCAAUUCUCAGGUUAUCAUUUUUAACCCAACUGGCAGAGUUAAUUUAGUUAAAUUGUAAUAGAUGGCUGGAAAUCCAGUUUUAGAGGAAGGAAUUGAUUUCCAACAUAUUUUGGAAUGUAAACCAAGAGGAAUUAUCUUGGUUUUCAACUGCUAUUUUUGGUGAAGUAUCUACUUGGAGAAGGGACCUGUUGGAUGCAAGUCUAGAUAAUGAUGAUUAAGGAUUAUGACAUGAAACAACAUUUUGGAUAAAGUUAUAUGUCUACUGAAACUGCAUUUUAUACAAAUUUGCCUAUUGGAUUUUGUGCCAGCUACUUCGACAAGAUCCCAGGAUACAUAGAAUGUUUGAGUGCGAUAUCAGGAAUCUAUUAUUGGGAAUAUCUUUUGGAAAUACAAUUUUAAUCAUGCAGGAUGUAGUUAACGUUCUUGUAAACUAACAAUCCCCCUUGAUUUUAAUGUGUUUAUCAGU
Non-coding RNA from Durio zibethinus, 1982 nucleotides. The record is from RefSeq and is a predicted model, not a curated record. NCBI's taxonomy places the organism in Eukaryota, Viridiplantae, Streptophyta, Magnoliopsida, Malvales, Malvaceae.